Molecule: long non-coding RNA, 973 nt
Organism: Cinclus cinclus
Lineage: Eukaryota; Metazoa; Chordata; Aves; Passeriformes; Cinclidae
Exons: 5
Source: RefSeq, a predicted model, not a curated record
GUAAAAUUAAAAAACAAGGAGAAGUUUGAGCAGUGUCCACAUUACCUUGAGUUGGUGUGGUGUGUACCACACUGCACGGCUCGGUGGUGAAGUUUGGUUUGGUUUUUUUACAAGGCCAAGCUGGUAUUAGAAAUGUUAAUUUUAUCAAUGCAGCACUUUCAAUUCAGUGAGACAAUGAGAGUUGUUUGUGUCACAGACCAGCUCUAAGGACCAGCAUCUGAGUAACUUGGAUCUCCUUAAACUCAUGAUAAUGUUUCCUUAGGGCAGGAGGAGGCAGGGAUCCCAGCUCUUCUACUUCACUCUAACAACUCCAGCUAAACACAGGUCUGAAGGCAGGCUGAUGGUAGUCACAGGUACAAAGCUGACUUGAUCCAGGAGAAGGAUGCCUCUGAAAGGAAGGGAGAAUCACCUUUAAGACUUUGAUAAUAAGAGUUGCUCCAACAACUCCAACAACAACAACUUCCAUGAAACUAAACAAGAUAGGUAAAGAUUGAAACCAGAAUCUGCACAACCCUUUUCUCAAGUCUUCCACCCACUGGCACAUCACCUACAAAACAGGACACUUGAACAAAGCAGACAGAAGGUUGUAACUGUGAGUGUUUUGGCCACAGAGGAAGCCAUGAAACCCAUCCUGGCCUAAGUUGGAACUGAAACUUCUCCAGCUGUUACUGUGUUUCCUACGGCAGGAAAAAAGGGGAGCUGUAGAGAAACUUCCAUCACAGAUCUGAGAAAGAAAUUUAUUCCUGUCAGAUAUCUGGAUUGCAGACUGCCAAGUAUCAAGUACUUCAAAGGAGAACAGAUUUGAAAACAAACAAAGUACCCAAUACGAAGAGUUGAAUUUAGGUGUUUUAAAAAAUAAAAACCAAGACAUAUACAAUAAAACCCUCUUAUAUGAAGAAACUCUUUUACUAUGUAAAGCAAGGGAUAAAUGAUGCUCUCUUACCCUGUGAAGCAAUACAUUGAAUAGGGAUGA